Molecule: ribosomal RNA, 301 nt
Filed under: uncultured bacterium
Lineage: Bacteria
Description: partial 16S ribosomal RNA
Rfam family: Bacterial small subunit ribosomal RNA
Source: RNAcentral
CAGUAGCCGCGGUAAAACGUAUGUCACAAGCGUUAUCCGGAUUUAUUGGGCGUAAGGCGCGUCUAGGUGGUUAUGUAAGUCUGAUGUGAAAAUGCAGGGCUCAACUCUGUAUUGCGUUGGAAACUGUGUAACUAGAGUACUGGAGAGGUAAGCGGAACUACAAGUGUAGAGGUGAAAUUCGUAGAUAUUUGUAGGAAUGUCGAUGGGGAAGCCAGCUUACUGGACAGAUACUGACGCUAAAGCGCGAAAGCGUGGGUAGCAAACAGGAUUAGAUACCCGCGUAGUCCCUGUCUCUUAUACA